UACGUAGGGCGCAAGCGUUGUCCGGAAUUAUUGGGCGUAAAGAGCUCGUAGGCGGCCUGUUACGUCUGCUGUGAAAUCCCGGGGCUUAACCCCGGGCGUGCAGUGGAUACGGGCAGGCUGGAGGCAGGCAGGGGAGAACGGAAUUCCUGGUGUAGCGGUGAAAUGCGCAGAUAUCAGGAGGAACACCGGUGGCGAAGGCGGUUCUCUGGGCCUGUACUGACGCUGAGGAGCGAAAGCGUGGGGAGCGAACAGG
Molecule: ribosomal RNA, 253 nt
Filed under: uncultured bacterium
Lineage: Bacteria
Description: partial 16S ribosomal RNA
Rfam family: Bacterial small subunit ribosomal RNA
Source: RNAcentral